UACGUAGGGGGCUAGCGUUGUCCGGAUUUAUUGGGCGUAAAGAGCGUGUAGGCGGCCUGGUAGGUCUGCUGUGAAAACUCGAGGCUCAACCUCGAGAUGUCGGCGGAAACCAUCUGGCUAGAGUCCGGAAGAGGAGAGUGGAAUUCCUGGUGUAGCGGUGAAAUGCGUAGAUAUCAGGAGGAACACCUGCGGUGUAGACGGCUUUCUGGACCAUGCUGACGCUGAGACACGAAAGCGUGGGUAGCAAACAGG
Molecule: ribosomal RNA, 252 nt
Filed under: uncultured bacterium
Lineage: Bacteria
Description: partial 16S ribosomal RNA
Rfam family: Bacterial small subunit ribosomal RNA
Source: RNAcentral